RNAcentral lists this unclassified non-coding RNA (88 nucleotides) under Pseudomonas jessenii. Lineage: Bacteria; Pseudomonadati; Pseudomonadota; Gammaproteobacteria; Pseudomonadales; Pseudomonadaceae. The record is from RNAcentral.
GUGGGAGCGAGCUUGCUCGCGAUGAGGUCGUUACAGUCGACAUUGAUGCUGAUUGACCCACCGCAAUCGCGAGCAAGCUCGCUCCCAC